UGUGUAAGCACAAGUGUGUCUGGCCACAAGACUUGACACCCUCACAGCUGGAGAGAAAACAUCCCAGCAACUGCACAGGACCAUGGAGAGGAAGCUGGGAGCUGUGCUGGGGAUUCUGUGGGUGUGGAUUUGCUGGGUGAGAGGAGUUGAGGUGGAGCAGAGUCCUUCAUACCCGAGUGUCCAUGAGGGAACCAGUGCUACGUUCGCAUGCAAUUUUUCUACAACCAUGACAUAUGUGAGGUGGUUCCAGCAGAAUCCCAGGGGCAGCCUCAUCAGUCUUUUUAACAUGGCUCUAGGAAAAAAGGAGAAUGGGAGGUUAACUGCAACAUUCAAUUCUAAGGAGCACUACAGCACCCUGCACAUCAAGGAGGCCCAGCUGGAGGACUCAGGAACCUACCUCUGUGCUGCUGAUGCACAGUGCUCCCAGCAAGUAUGAAGCCUGGCCCCAAACUGCAACUGGGUGUGCAGCUACAUUCCUGCCACAGGGAGAUUCUGCAGGAGGCGUUUGCACAGCUGUGGCUCUAUCAGAUCUCCACCAAUUACAAGGAAGGUGUGAGGAAGCAGAAAAUAGCACAGGAGAACUUCACACUUAAGCUGAUGUAACACUGAUUUGUAGAAGAACAAAUGCCCAGAAAUAACAGCGCACAUUA
Long non-coding RNA from Mesocricetus auratus (golden hamster), 650 nucleotides. RefSeq lists it as uncharacterized. Lineage: Eukaryota; Metazoa; Chordata; Mammalia; Rodentia; Cricetidae. The transcript has 2 exons. The record is from RefSeq and is a predicted model, not a curated record.